Molecule: ribosomal RNA, 2100 nt
Filed under: Niphargus montanarius
Lineage: Eukaryota; Metazoa; Arthropoda; Malacostraca; Amphipoda; Niphargidae
Description: eukaryotic LSU rRNA
Rfam family: Eukaryotic large subunit ribosomal RNA (bases 1653-2100)
Source: RNAcentral
GGUUUCCGUAGGUGAACCUGCGGAAGGAUCAUUAACGAUUGCUAAACAUGCAAAGAGAAACGUAUGGCUGACCGGACUAAACUCCUGACGAGAUCAGGAAGGAUUUGACUGGCUAAAACUCCUGACGAGUUCAGGAAGGAUUACGCCUCUCCUUUGAGGGGCCAUCGUGGUCGUCGUGCGUAUGCGCUGCGAACGAUGUAAAACAAACAACCUAUGGCCCCUCAUAUUGUAUAAUAUCUCUCGCCAUGGUAUACAGGCCUGGCAUCUGGUACGAGUCUCUCGCAGUCUCAAAACCAACCUUACAACUCUGAGCGGUGGAUCACUUGGCUUGUGGAUGCUAUGAAGACCAUAGCUAAGUGUGAGAAUGGCAGCGAGCCGUCGCUAUAUGCGCUGUCCUCUUCUUAUCACAUGUCGAAUGCACAUUGCGCCCCACCCAGCGGUCGGCUAACAACCUGCAGACAAAAGCCUGUGAGUUGGAACAAAGGCGAGUGUGUGGCCCUCGAGCAACGGCGGGGGAGCCAGGAGCACAUGAGCGUGCGGACCAACUACUCGUGAGUAGUCAGGCUGAACCCUAUGGUGGGGCACUCCUAGUCGAGUGUGGUGGAUCGGACUCACCGUCCCUUAAUGGGUUUGUGUGAGUUUCUUUGUUGCUGGUGGCAUUUGGGUCGACAUCAGUCGUGCCCGUAAACAACUGCCUUGGCUCGUGCCUCUGUGCGGGGUAACCUUCUCGCAUGGGCGUAAGGUACGCACAUUGAAGGCCAUAGCUGGCGAUCACUCUUGCGGCCAGGGCUCAGAACCACUUUUGCCUGGUUAAUGGCACCGGAUUGAGCGCAGCGGUCCAAAGGGAUGGCAAUACGAGAGGCGGGUCUCUGAAAAACUCUUGCCCGUUUCCUCACAGGGAGUUGGGUGUUGAGCGGUAUUUCUGUGAAUGGGCUUUUCUGGUAAAGGUUUAGUCUCUCGUAGUAUUCGAGAAUGACACGUACCUCACCUCUUUUUGUUCACACACAUGGCUGGCAGACGAAGAGACGCCUGACGAGAUCAGGAAGGAUUUUCUAGGGUGUGUGAAAAAAGUAACGGAAUUGCCUGCAGUGCCGCGCGCCACUCCGCGUUUGACCUGUGUUGGAUGCGUUGGAACGGAGAGAGGCUUUAGCCAAAAUCGGCCAGGACUCUACCUUGGCCUGGGUAAUGGCACCGGUAGGGGCUCUACCACCUUGCAUGGUUAAUUGCACCGGUAGAGCUUACAAAGUCCAACAGGAUAUAAGGCAAUACGAGAGGCGGGUCUCUUCAAAAACUCUAGCCCGCUACGACACGGGGAGUUGGGUGGUGAUUCAGUACGCUUUUCUGGUUGAGGUUUGUGUCUGUGACACAAACCUCGCUUCUUUUUGUUCACACACGGGUUGGCUGGCAGAUGAAGAGACGCCUGACGAGAUCAGGAAGGAUUUUCUAAGGUGUGUGAGAAAAGUAACAGAUUGGCUCAUGCAGUACUGACCCACUCCGCGUUUGACCCGUUGUUUCAAGCGAUGGAACGGAGAGAGGAGGCUUUAGCCAAAAUCGGCCGACGGACACUACCUUGCCUGGGUAAUGGCACCGGUAGGGGCUCUUUCAUUGCAUGGUUAAUUGCACCGCUAGAGCCUUUGUCCAAAAAAAUGCCACCACCUCGACUUAGGAGAGGUUACCCGCUGAACUUAAGCAUAUCAGUAAGCGGAGGAAAAGAAACCAAUCAGGGAUUCCCUUAGUAGGGGCGACCGAAAAGGGAUGAGCCCAGCGCAGAACCUCCCGGGCCACCCGGCCUGCGGCGGAAUGUUGCGUUAAGGGAAAGGUCGUAGUCAAACCCCACAGCCACGCGAGCGCUAAGUAAGUCACGAAUUGGCUAUCCCAACUAACGGCGGGAAAAUCUCCACGGAGGGUGUAAGACCCGUGUGGGCGCGUGUAAAUGCUGUGUGGGCUCGGCCUCUUUUCCCUGAGAGUCGCGUUGCUUGAGCAUGCAGCGCUAAGCAGGUCGUAAACUCGAUCUAAGGCUAAAUAUUUCCACAAGACCGAUAGCGAACAAGUACCGUGAGGGAAAGUUGAAAAGCACUCUGAAGAGAGAGUCAAAAGACC